Molecule: non-coding RNA, 2657 nt
Organism: Vigna umbellata (rice bean)
Lineage: Eukaryota; Viridiplantae; Streptophyta; Magnoliopsida; Fabales; Fabaceae
Source: RefSeq, a predicted model, not a curated record
UAUUUUCGAUAUCUUAAUAACUCAGAUGGUACGCCGAAAUCAAAAUCCCUAUGGCUGAGUUGCCUAACUACAAAGCAACGUUGGAUUCGUUGAUUUCCUAAAACUUUAGUUUUUUUUUCUAAUUUGUAGUCGGUGACUCACUCGCUGCGAACCACUUCAAGCCGUCAUUUUUCAAUCUCCGGUGCAUCUUCUAUUCUUCAAUUCCAUUUCUGUUUAUGAUUCCCUCUGUUUCCGCCUCAAAAUCUGAGAGGUUCAAGGCUCUAACCAUUUCUUACUAUAGGGCACCAAAAGAAAUCAUUCUAGAGUCUGUUAGUCAAGGAUCUCACCAUGCAAACAACAUCGUAUAGUCAUCCUUUAAUCUGUUUCUCUUGCAGAAACAUCAGUGCAAAUGGGAAGAAUAAAUAUAAGGUGAAAUUCUGUGCACCGUUUCCCUCUCAAUGGGAUCGGAAAUGUGAAUUCAAUGGGAGACCUCAAAUUUAUAAUUCUCCUGGCCCCAUAAAACCAAAAAGAUUGUUUGUGCUUCAUAACACAGAUGACAGCCAUCCAUCUGCUUCUACGGUAGGUGAUGAAAUGAACACAAACCAUGCUCCAAAUGGCUCAUCACCAGCAUUUCUCAGCAAUUGGUCACCUCCAAGGUAUCUGUGGAGGGGGUUAUCAGUUUUAAUCCUGGCAGGGCAGGUGAUUGUCAAAACUCUAAAGGGAAAGAUUCAUUGGAGGAACACUCUUCAACAACUGGAGAGAGUUGGUCCAAGAUCAGUUGGGGUGUGUCUUUUAACUUCGGCUUUUGUGGGCAUGGCCUUCACAAUUCAAUUUGUAAGAGAGUUCACAAGGUUAGGAUUGAACAGGUCUGUAGGUGGGGUUUUAGCUUUGGCUUUCUCAAGGGAGUUAAGUCCUGUUGUUACAGCAAUUGUGGUUGCAGGGCGCAUUGGAAGUGCUUUUGCAGCAGAGUUAGGAACUAUGCAGGUUUCUGAGCAAACUGAUACAUUGAGAGUUCUUGGUUCAGACCCUGUUGAUUACCUGGUGACACCAAGAGUGAUAGCCACUUGUAUUGCCCUACCUCUUUUGACCCUAUUGUGUUUUACAUUAGGGUUGGCAUCUAGUGCCAUUCUUGCUGAUGGUGUUUAUGGGGUGAGCAUCAACAUUAUCCUGGAUUCAGCUCAGCGGGCUCUCAGAUCAUGGGAUAUUAUUAGUGCAAUGAUCAAGUCACAGGUUUUUGGUGCUAUCAUAUCUAUUGUGAGUUGUGCGUGGGGAGUUACAACUUUGGGAGGUGCUAAAGGUGUUGGGGAAUCAACAACGUCAGCUGUGGUUAUUUCUCUAGUAGGCAUCUUCAUCGCCGAUUUUGCUCUUUCUUGUUGUUUCUUCCAAGGAGCAGGAGAUCAGCUAAAGAAUUGCAUUUAGGCAACUAAUGUUGUCUCUGCAAUUUGGUUUUUCUCUUUUGUACAAAGUGAAUGGGUAUAAAAUGUACCAGUGUAUAGAAAGAAUUGAAAUGAGGCAAUCAGUGCCUCUGACUUGGAAAUAUAGGUGAGUCUAAGUAAAUCGAAACUUUCAUAUCUCAAUCAUCUUAUAUUUUGUAGCUAUUAUUACUCAACUAAGCCUGAGAAAUCAUCUGAACAAUGGUGAAAUUUGUGUUCUAUUCUUUUCAUUGGGGCAAUUUUGUGUUAGUAAAUCGUGGAUUUCAUUAAUGAAUAGUGAUAAUGACCACUGCAUCACCAUGGUUUGGUUUUGGAAUCAACGGUUUAUUUGGAUAAAGUUGUUUGACAAUAACUGUCAAAAUAAUGAUAACUUAAUUAGUAAUUUGAUUUUUAUAUUUAAGUUUAUGAUUCAUUUUUAUUCUUAUAUAUUUUUUUACGGAGUCCUUAUAUUUUUUACACAGUCUUUAUAUUUUUUAAAUAGAGUCAAUGUGGUCCUUUAGCAUUAAAGAUGUUAUAAAAUGUGACCAUGUGUAAGUUCAAAUUCUAUUUUUCCUCUCCAACCCAAGCUUUUUUGGCGACACAAUCCCACCAUCCUGACAACACCCGCCACCACCACCAUAGCCGGACGCCCACCACCACCACCGUGACAGCACCCACCACCACCCACCCUCCUCUCCUACCGAUGGCAUUGUUCUUGAACCCCCUCCUUCCCCAUAUUUUUCUCUUAUCAGUGUCUCUCCUUCCAUUGAGACAGACACCUUUGCAUUGUUCCUCUGCUUGUUUUGUAUCCACUGUAAGAGUGUGCAAGAUUAUUGCGCGCUCUCUUUAUUUGCAUUGUUUGUGGCUGUUGACAUACAAGUUAUUAUGUGGUUUUGUAAGUGAAACUCAUCAAGGUUUUCUUUCAAGUUGGACUGCCAAGGGAUUAAGCUUUUUGGGACAUUUCUUUUUCAUCUUGUAGUUUCCCUUUUACAAGCACUGAGGAGAACUUUGACAACCAAAACAUGAACUGUAUGGUUUAAUGAGAUAAAGUUUUCACCUUUCAUGUUGUGAGGACUCAAAUUUGUAGAAAUUGGUGAAAUUGAGUGGACGGUAUUUUCUGUACUUCUAUUGGAAAUUAUUUUCCUGCAACUGGGAAAAUAUCUAUCUAUAUCUUUCUGAAUGCUUCCCUCCAUUUGGGACUACAUAACUGUGGAAACUGUUUCAUUCUUUUUGCAAUUAGAACUGCAUAUAAUUGAGGAAAAGAGA